GCCAGGGCGGCGGCCAGGACACCCGUCAGCGCGGCGACGAGGAUCGUGCAGCGGAGGCUCGGCACCUCAUCCACCGGCAGGAAGGACGACGCCGACAACGUCGACAUCAUCAACCAAGCAAUUACAUUGGCAAAGAGUAGUGAUGGAAAGAAGGUGGUGAACAGCAUUCUGAUCACACUUGGAAUCACUUCUUUCGUUCAUUGGACUGUGUCGACACUUACAGCUCACGCUGAAAAUGAAACUGGUGAGAAGGUGAUACAGCAAGAUGAGUCCAAUAAAGCAUUUCAAUUUGGGAUCGAAAAGGAGCCGCUGCAGCUGGAUACCAAACUCUGAAUCAUUCUCGGAUGAGAAGGUUGCCGCUCAGUCAUCAGCAUGGUCGCCUUGAGAACAACAAAACAUAUAAUUUGUACUAGCAGUUCGGUGCCUGGUGGUGUUGGAACCGCAUAUAAUUCCCAGGAUGAGAACAUGUUUAUUAUAUUUCUCUCUGUUAAUUCAAACUUCGGUUACUCUA
Lolium rigidum is the source of this 511-nucleotide long non-coding RNA. RefSeq lists it as uncharacterized. The transcript has 2 exons. The record is from RefSeq and is a predicted model, not a curated record. Lineage: Eukaryota; Viridiplantae; Streptophyta; Magnoliopsida; Poales; Poaceae.